CAACCAAGGGAGGCUUCUGAGGACAGACUGUCUGCGUUCAAAUCAUGACAGAAACGAUCUAUUUGAGACUGUGAACACGAGAAUUGGGGCUUAGAGGUGCAUAGUAAAGAAAUUACCCAUUGGAGAACAUCUCUUAGAGAGAAAUGAGUUUGCACCCAGAACAUCGUAAGGUCCUGAAGGGUAUUGAACUUGUCAAAAGGAGGAGAUUCAGCGUGGAAAAGUGGCUUACACCUACGCAUGACAGGAAAAUGAAUAUGCUUAUGUACUACGCAUAUGAGUUCAACAUUUUAGGAGAAGCUGAAACAACCAGAUGAAAACAGAUUCCCAGAAUACCAUGUGGAACAAAGCCAUUCCCCAACCAGGAUUGUCACCAUACAUUUGUUAAAUCAUAAGUCAAUAAAUAAUUAUUUUCUUUAAGACAUUAAAUUUGGAACCACUGUUAACAUAGUUUAACCUUCACGUUAAUAUAAAUGAUUUGCACAUUAGGAGUGAAACAAGUAUUAUAAAAUUUCUUGUAUUUUGCUAGCAUGUUGUACACACAUCCAACCGCUUGUCAAGUAAUCUCAUAGAAGAUGGGAUGUAAUUACAGCAAAAACUGUCAGUUUUAUUCUGCAAAGAAAAGUUAUAUGUUCAGCCUCAGUUAGCAGGUAAAUGAACUUUGCUUAAAUAAAUAUAAAUUCUUGUUUUUCGUUCUAGCAUAUAGACUGUAAGGAUAAUAUUCUGAAAACAAAAUCAGGCAAGCAAUUCUUGGCUUACAGAUUCUUUUACAGAGGUUUCAAUGAAAAAGCUAUUUAUAAUUUCUCUUUUGUAUCACUUCCGUUAUAUCAUAUAUUGCAAUAAAAGCAUGCUUACUUGUCUCUGUAGAGGCAAAAUAUGCUUACGUACUCUUAUAUCCUAAUAAGAAUAUAAUUUAAAUGGAAAUGUGUGGUAGGCUGAAUAAUGAUCCCCAAAAGAAGAUUUCCUUGUCUUAAUUUCUCCUGGAGUCUGUGAAUGUCCUCUUUGACAACAACAACAACAAAAAGCUUCACAUUAUGAUCAAGUGUAAGGUCUUGCAAUGGAAGAUCAUUCUGGAUUAUCUGGCUAGGCCCUAAAUGCACACAAAGAAGGAGAGAAGACAGUGGGACCACAACUGCAAAGAUUGGAGUUAACAUGUCCACAAGCCAAGGAAUAUGGGCAACC
Molecule: long non-coding RNA, 1179 nt
Organism: Neogale vison (American mink)
Lineage: Eukaryota; Metazoa; Chordata; Mammalia; Carnivora; Mustelidae
Exons: 4
Source: RefSeq, a predicted model, not a curated record